RNAcentral lists this ribosomal RNA (912 nucleotides) under uncultured Neisseriaceae bacterium. RNAcentral describes it as "bacterial SSU rRNA". It matches the Rfam family "Bacterial small subunit ribosomal RNA". The record is from RNAcentral. Lineage: Bacteria; Pseudomonadati; Pseudomonadota; Betaproteobacteria; Neisseriales; Neisseriaceae.
AUUGAACGCUGGCGGCAUGCUUUACACAUGCAAGUCGGACGGCAGCAUAGAAGAGCUUGCUCUUUUGAUGGCGAGUGGCGAACGGGUGAGUAAUGCAUCGGAACGUACCGAGUAGUGGGGGAUAACUGUCCGAAAGGAUGGCUAAUACCGCAUAUUCUCUGAGGAGGAAAGCAGGGGACCUUAGGGCCUUGCGCUAUUUGAGCGGCCGAUGUCUGAUUAGCUAGUUGGUGGGGUAAGAGCCCACCAAGGCGACGAUCAGUAGCGGGUCUGAGAGGAUGAUCCGCCACACUGGGACUGAGACACGGCCCAGACUCCUACGGGAGGCAGCAGUGGGGAAUUUUGGACAAUGGGCGCAAGCCUGAUCCAGCCAUGCCGCGUGUAUGAAGAAGGCCUUCGGGUUGUAAAGUACUUUUGUCAGGGAAGAAAAGCCUGGGGAUAACACCCUCAGGUCAUGACGGUACCUGAAGAAUAAGCACCGGCUAACUACGUGCCAGCAGCCGCGGUAAUACGUAGGGUGCGAGCGUUAAUCGGAAUUACUGGGCGUAAAGCGAGCGCAGACGGUUAUUUAAGCAAGAUGUGAAAGCCCCGGGCUCAACCUGGGAACUGCGUUUUUGAACUGGGUAACUAGAGUGUGUCAGAGGGGGGGUAGAAUUCCACGUGUAGCAGUGAAAUGCGUAGAGAUGUGGAGGAUACCGAUGGUGAAGGUAGCCCUUUGGGAUAACCUGACGUUAUGCUCGAAAGCUUGGGUGGCUAACGGGUUUAGAUAUCCUGGGUUGUUCUAGGCGAUUCAUUGUGGGUAUCAAGCUGAUCGAUUCCGUCCACCUCGAAAAGAGGAACAAGUACUCUGUUUUUUUUCCUUUUAUGUGUGGUUGAUGUAAUGGUGGGUUGUUGGUAAUGUCUAUUUUUCUUGUG